This 93-nucleotide non-coding RNA is filed under the name uncultured Faecousia sp. RNAcentral describes it as "THF riboswitch". It matches the Rfam family "THF (Tetrahydrofolate) riboswitch aptamer". Rfam says of the family: THF riboswitch presents a pseudoknot that joins P1-P2 and the loop of P3 and two THF binding. Lineage: Bacteria; Bacillati; Bacillota; Clostridia; Eubacteriales; Oscillospiraceae. The record is from RNAcentral.
CAAAAUAGGAUUCCAUGCGUCAAGUGUUCCGUGGAUGGGGAGUCGCCACAGAAACGAAAAGCUCGUCUUACGAUAUGGAGUCCGCACCCGUUG